CAGUCGCCACGGGAAUACGAAGGGGGCUAGCGUUGUUCGGAAUUACUGGGCGUAAAGCGCACGUAGGCGGAUAUUUAAGUCAGGGGUGAAAUCCCGCAGCUCAACUGCGGAACUGCCUUUGAUACUGGGUAUCUUGAGUAUGGAAGAGGUUAGUGGAAUUGCGAGUGUAGAGGUGAAAUUCGUAGAUAUUCGCAGGAACACCAGUGGCGAAGGCGGCUAACUGGUCCAUAACUGACACUGAGGUGCGAAAGCGUGGGGAGCAAACAGGAUUAGAUACCCGCGUAGUCCCUGUCUCUUAUAC
This 301-nucleotide ribosomal RNA is filed under the name uncultured bacterium. RNAcentral describes it as "partial 16S ribosomal RNA". It matches the Rfam family "Bacterial small subunit ribosomal RNA", at positions 509 to 807 of the family's 1533-position model. The record is from RNAcentral.